This 1149-nucleotide long non-coding RNA is filed under the name Homo sapiens (human). RNAcentral's name for it is "HSALNT0105958". The record is from RNAcentral. Lineage: Eukaryota; Metazoa; Chordata; Mammalia; Primates; Hominidae.
UAAAGACACCGAUGAAAAGGGAGGGGUGGGAGAAGCUGAACACAGACCACAGGGGGAGCUGCUAGCAGUGCUGCACCCCUUCCCAAACAUGGCCGCUUUUUGAGACUGAACUAGCUGUGGGCUUUGAAGCAAAAGGCCUCAGGGUGGAAAAUGAAAGAUGCUUAAGGUCACUGCCCCUCCUGUUCUGUACACAAGCCUAAGCUCGGGAGGAAAUAAUUUGAGGUAUCUGGAAGAAGCAGAGAGAGCAGGGCAGCUCUGAAGUCACUGCGAGGCUGUGAGAGGUCAGCCAGCGCUUCAAAGGACCCCAGGACCUUUGCAUAACCCUGGACUGAAUGGGAAGGGAAAGUCCCAGUCAUGACAGAAACGGAAUUUCCCACCAACUCAGUAGGAGGUUUGGGGUUCAGGGUCAGUUUCAUGGCAGUGCAAACAAAAUAAAGAAAAUGUGAUAUUUAUUGCUUACUUAAAUUUGUGGACCAAACUGCCUACCAUGCUAUCCACACUGUUUCCUGCAGGUGGUCAAUGUGGGCUUAAGGGAAAAGUAACUCAUCUUAAUAUUUGCUUAAAUCAAAUGGAAUAUAGAAAGUAAAUAAAUCUGCUGCCAAGCCAUCAAGUAGGGCAUUCUAAACCCAAAAUAAAGAGCCUAUGGACUGUCUGUGGAUUUAGAUUAUGCAUAGUUUUCUGCCACCACUCCCUGUAUUCAAAUCAAUAGUCACAUUUCAUUGCAGACACUUGGAGCUGUCUGGGUUCAAAUCCCAGCUCUGUUGCUUAUUAGCUGAGACACUUCAGCCAAGGUACUGACACUCUCUGUGCCUCAAUUUCCCCAGCCAUUAAGUAGGAGUCAUAAUUGCAUAACCCCCACAGGGUGGAUGUGACAAUUCAACCGGAUCACAAAAGUGCAUGCUCAGCCUAGUGCCUGGCACACUGUAAGGAUCAAUAAACAGGAGCUAUUAUUAUUAUGCUAAUUUGAAGGAUUCUUGUUUUUAAACGUCCUCAUUUCACAUUGCAGAUACCCAAAUAGAAACACAGAUUUUCAUUUGCUUACAAACCUUCCACUUUUCUCCAGCUAGAAGUUACAGGUGGCCCCUAUGGGUGAAUGUGUUAGGUAACACUCACACUUUAAGCAAGGGGAAAUGCAGGCCCAGAGAGAGU